This 616-nucleotide ribosomal RNA is filed under the name Cortinarius humboldtensis. Its description in RNAcentral is "eukaryotic LSU rRNA". It matches the Rfam family "Eukaryotic large subunit ribosomal RNA", at positions 1 to 622 of the family's 3401-position model. Lineage: Eukaryota; Fungi; Basidiomycota; Agaricomycetes; Agaricales; Cortinariaceae. The record is from RNAcentral.
UGUGACCUCAAAUCAGGUAGGACUACCCGCUGAACUUAAGCAUAUCAAUAAGCGGAGGAAAAGAAACUAACAAGGAUUCCCCUAGUAACUGCGAGUGAAGCGGGAAAAGCUCAAAUUUAAAAUCUGGCAGUCUUUGGCUGUCCGAGUUGUAAUCUAGAGAAGUGUUAUCCGCGCUGGACCGUGUACAAGUCUCCUGGAAUGGAGCGUCAUAGAGGGUGAGAAUCCCGUCUUUGACACGGACUACCAGGGCUUUGUGAUGCGCUCUCAAAGAGUCGAGUUGUUUGGGAAUGCAGCUCAAAAUGGGUGGUAAAUUCCAUCUAAAGCUAAAUAUUGGCGAGAGACCGAUAGCGAACAAGUACCGUGAGGGAAAGAUGAAAAGAACUUUGGAAAGAGAGUUAAACAGUACGUGAAAUUGCUGAAAGGGAAACGCUUGAAGUCAGUCGCGUUGUCCAGGGAUCAACCUUGCUUUUGCUUGGUGCACUUUCUGGUUGACGGGUCAGCAUCAAUUUUGACCAUUGGAAAAAGAUUAAGGGAAUGUGGCAUCCUUGGAUGUGUUAUAGCCCUUGGUUGCAUACAAUGGUUGGGAUUGAGGAACUCAGCACGCCGCAAGGCCGGG